CUCAGGUGCGAAAGCGUGGGGAGCAAACAGGAUUAGAUACCCUGGUAGUCCACGCCGUAAACGAUGUCUACUUGGAGGUUGUGCCCUUGAGGCGUGGCUUCCGGAGCUAACGCGUUAAGUAGACCGCCUGGGGAGUACGGCCGCAAGGUUAAAACUCAAAUGAAUUGACGGGGGCCCGCACAAGCGGUGGAGCAUGUGGUUUAAUUCGAUGCAACGCGAAGAACCUUACCUGGUCUUGACAUCCACAGAACUUUCCAGAGAUGGAUUGGUGCCUUCGGGAACUGUGAGACAGGUGCUGCAUGGCUGUCGUCAGCUCGUGUUGUGAAAUGUUGGGUUAAGUCCCGCAACGAGCGCAAC
Molecule: ribosomal RNA, 357 nt
Filed under: Salmonella enterica
Lineage: Bacteria; Pseudomonadati; Pseudomonadota; Gammaproteobacteria; Enterobacterales; Enterobacteriaceae
Also listed under: 1 other name
Description: bacterial SSU rRNA
Rfam family: Bacterial small subunit ribosomal RNA
Source: RNAcentral